This 460-nucleotide ribosomal RNA is filed under the name uncultured Methylomirabilota bacterium. RNAcentral's name for it is "bacterial SSU rRNA". It matches the Rfam family "Bacterial small subunit ribosomal RNA", at positions 977 to 1434 of the family's 1533-position model. The record is from RNAcentral. Lineage: Bacteria; Methylomirabilota (SeqCode).
GGGCUUGACAUCCCACGAAUCCCUUCGAAAGAAGGGAGUGCCCGCAAGGGAGCGCGGAGACAGGUGGUGCAUGGCUGUCGUCAGCUCGUGUCGUGAGAUGUUGGGUUAAGUCCCGCAACGAGCGCAACCCUCACCCCUUGUUGCCACCAGGUCAUGCUGGGCACUCUAGAGGAACUGCCCCGGUCAACGGGGAGGAAGGCGGGGAUGACGUCAAGUCAUCAUGCCCCUUACGUCCUGGGCUACACACGUGCUACAAUGGCCGGUACAAAGGGAUGCCACACCGCGAGGUAGAGCUAAACCCAAAAAGCCGGUCUAAGUUCAGAUUGGAGUCUGCAACUCGACUCCAUGAAGGAGGAAUCGCUAGUAAUCGCGUAUCAGCACGACGCGGUGAAUACGUUCCCGGGCCUUGUACACACCGCCCGUCACACCACGAAAGCCCGUUGUACUCGAAGUCGCUGAG